This 450-nucleotide ribosomal RNA is filed under the name uncultured bacterium. RNAcentral describes it as "partial 16S ribosomal RNA". It matches the Rfam family "Bacterial small subunit ribosomal RNA", at positions 354 to 796 of the family's 1533-position model. The record is from RNAcentral.
GUGGGGAAUCUUCCGCAAUGGACGAAAGUCUGACGGAGCAACGCCGCGUGAGUGAUGAAGGUCUUCGGAUUGUAAAGCUCUGUUAAUCGGGACGAAAGAGCCUAGUGUGAAUAAUGCUAGGAAGUGACGGUACCGGAAUAGAAAGCCACGGCUAACUACGUGCCAGCAGCCGCGGUAAUACGUAGGUGGCAAGCGUUGUCCGGAAUUAUUGGGCGUAAAGCGCGCGUAGGCGGAUCUGCCAGUCUGUCUUAAAAGUUCGGGGCUUAACCCCGUGAUGGGAUGGAAACUACAGAUCUAGAGUAUCGGAGAGGAAAGUGGAAUUCCUAGUGUAGCGGUGAAAUGCGUAGAUAUUAGGAAGAACACCAGUGGCGAAGGCGACUUUCUGGACGACAACUGACGCUGAGGCGCGAAAGCCAGGGGAGCAAACGGGAUUAGAUACCCGUGUAGUCC